This 292-nucleotide ribosomal RNA is filed under the name uncultured bacterium. RNAcentral describes it as "partial 16S ribosomal RNA". The record is from RNAcentral.
GGACUACUCGGGUAUCUAAUCCUGUUUGCUCCCCUGGCUUUCGCACCUCAGCGUCAGAAACCAGCCAGUGCAUCGCUUUCGCCGCCGGAGUUCCUUCCGAUAUCAACGCAUUUCACCGCUCCACCGGAAAUUCCAUGCACCCCUCUGGUCCUCAAGCACCGCAGUAUCGGGCGCAGUUCCUCGGUUAGGCCGAGGGAUUUCACACCCGACUUACGGCACCGCCUACGUGCGCUUUAUGCCCUGUGAUUCCGAACAACGCUCGCCACCUUCGUCUUACCGCGGCUGCUGGCAC